This 490-nucleotide ribosomal RNA is filed under the name uncultured bacterium. Its description in RNAcentral is "partial 16S ribosomal RNA". It matches the Rfam family "Bacterial small subunit ribosomal RNA", at positions 30 to 507 of the family's 1533-position model. The record is from RNAcentral.
AUUGAACGCUGGCGGCAGGCCUAACACAUGCCAGUCGAACGGUAACAGGAAGCAGCUUGCUGCUUCGCUGACGAGUGGCGGACGGGUGAGUAAUGUCUGGGAAACUGCCUGAUGGAGGGGGAUAACUACUGGAAACGGUAGCUAAUACCGCAUAACGUCGCAAGACCAAAGAGGGGGACCUUAGGGCCUCUUGCCAUCGGAUGUGCCCAGAUGGGAUUAGCUAGUAGGUGGGGUAACGGCUCACCUAGGCGACGAUCCCUAGCUGGUCUGAGAGGAUGACCAGCCACACUGGAACUGAGACACGGUCCAGACUCCUACGGGAGGCAGCAGUGGGGAAUAUUGCACAAUGGGCGCAAGCCUGAUGCAGCCACGCCGCGUGUAUGAAGAAGGCCUUCGGGUUGUAAAGUACUUUCAGCGGGGAGGAAGGGAGUAAAGUUAAUACCUUUGCUCAUUGACGUUACCCGCAGAAGAAGCACCGGCUAACUCCGUG